CUCAUAUUUCAGUUGUAUUAGUACAGUUGCUAUAUUUGGCCAAUGACUGUAGCCACACAUAGAGUGCGAUUGCACAAAUUUAUGAUUAUAAGAUCCUUCUGUUUAAUUCUUAUUGUGAUGUUAACCCGUGUCAAGAAGCCAACAUAAUCUAAUGUAGAAACUAAACGUUUACAAAAUAUCUUUCACGCCUUUUCAUUGUUGUCCAAAACCAUCAGACAAAAUUCACAUAUUAUUUAUGGGUUAAGUAAACAAUAUCGUAUCCUCAUUUUUAUUCUCAACUAACAUGGUCGAGGUAAUCCUUCGGGGUGAGUGACACCUAUCUAGGAUAGCAGCGGAGAAGUGAGCGGUGUGAAGAUUCAGUCUAAGGGACACUGGGGCCUUAAUUAGCAACCCACCUCUCUUACUCCUCCCUCUGACUCCUGCUGGCACCCACAGGCCCUGCCUCCUACAGUAAGAACAGCCUCCUGAAGGCGACCUGUUCUGAGGGACAGACCUCAGCUUGGCAGCAUUACUUCUGGAGGGACUGAGAGAUAUUGAAUUGAUUUCGAAAUAAAACUACUGCCAGAAGAAAUAAACAUUUCAAGAAUUUGUGGUGGGCGUUUGUACACGUGCCAUUUGUAAAUUGCGUACGGCCCCGUGCAUUAUGUGGCAUUAGCCUAAUAAAAGUCAUGUUUACCUUUAUGCAAGCGCUUUGUUUUUCAAAUAAUUUGAAAACUUGGGAGUGAGCACCCACACAAAAAGACGUCUUUUAAGUUGGGUUCUCAAAAUUUUACCCAUAAAUCUUGGCUAAUUACUCUUCAUCAUAGUAGUGUGACUUAUUUGUUUUAUUACGAUGAACCUCAUUACAGCACACAAUAAUUGUAAACAAUUAUUGUUUAGAGCCAAAAAGGAGCUGUGCUCACCAUGCACUCGGGACCAGCUAUCCGUAAGUGGAAUGUUCAAGCGUUCACAAGUAGGCUACACGCGUUGCCAGUGAGGUAGGGGGACUGCAUUGCAUUCCGAGCGGCCUAUUUCCAAGGAAGAGUUUUGCUAUGUGCUCUUCUGAUUCGUAUUCUGUUUCGAGAAAUAUAAGAUAAAAAUUGUGACAUCUCACGUCGCAUUUCUUUAUUUUCUUUUUUUCUUUUUUUCUUUUUUUGUCAAACGAGACGAUGCGCAAACACCGAUACAUGUAAUUGGCUGAGAGAGACACUGGCUUACUCACCGUCCAACUGUAUAUCUCCAUAGUCACAGUAUCUCCAUCAUGACUGGAAAUUGAACCGCUCGCGCUCUCCAUGUCAGGAGAAAAUUGAAGUGUUGAUCUACCAGACUGCAAACAAUACGAAAGAUGAUUGAUGACACUGACAAACUGAUAGAUCGCAACAAGUAAGCUAGGCUAGUAACAAUUCAAACACAAUGACAUUUGAUUAGGAAAGAAGCGAUGACAGAACACACUAGCCCAUACAAGAACACUGCUGGUCAGCUGUGUGGGUCACUAACAGGUUGGUAAGUAAUGAAAAUGCAAGCCACACAAACAGCAACACACAGGCAUACAAGGAUGGAGGGACAUUUAAGACAGACAGGAAAGCAGAGAGCAUAGUCAUACCAAAACCAUGCAAGGCUGUUGGACCAAAUGCUGAGCAGAAGUCGGAUAUAUACUCUCCAGCUGCUCUGCCCUAAAAGGCCAUGGACAUUUGUGCCAAAGUGCCCAUCCUGCCCCUUCCUGUGUCGCUUUGGGUGACCCAUUAAAUAUCUCAAACCAUUGUUUCAAACCACUGUGGCCUGUGUCUGGGCCUGUGCCUGUAAUUCAAAAUAUCUUUGCAAUGAGCUGUAUACAUAGACUCUGGGCAAGCUAUUAAUCUCUCUUCAUUGUUUACCUGUUACUCAUCACCUUUAUAUACCUGCUUCCAUAUCCCCUCUCCACAUUCCCCUCAUAUCUGUGCUUCUGGAAUCUUUCUGAUAGCCAGGGUGCUGAAGUUAAUAGGAUCUAGUCUUAUGAGGCACUUUUCUGCAUGGUGUAACUCUUGGCAAUAAAUAGUGGGGACAUUAUAAUUGACACAGAAUAUUGCAGUGGCACUGUAACUAGGAUAAGUAAGGCAUUUCAUUUUAAUCGAGCCCUUAUGCUGAGCGGUCUCCAUCUUUGCCUUGCAGAACUUUUAGUCUGAACACCAGUGCAGAACUAACCUAAUCUGAAUAUAAUACAAUCACCUUGGCAAUCACACAGCAGACUCUAAGUAUGUGGCCCUCAAAGUAUGGGCUGGUAAGCAUGAGGGAAAUGCACAUUGAGCAGUAAAAAAGCAAAAACAUAAAUGGAUUCAAUUAUGCAGAAAGUUCAUCUCCAGCAACAAUACUACUUUUUAAUCUGAAUUAAUUAAUAAAAAGAACAGCUCAUAGGUAACUAUUAUCCCAUUCAGUUAUUUUUUAUUAACUGACUAGCGAUUUACUAUCAAACUGUGCUGAAAUUGAUUCAUUCUACUGCUACUGUGAGGACAAGUUUAAAAUAAGAUUUUGUGACAGAAAAGUGAAAUUCUUGGCUAUAAUUCCUUGCUGUUGUUGUGACAUUGACAGAAAGAGUUUAGCAAGUUUUAGGCAUUCUAGCAUAUUUGUUUGUUUUCAAAAUGUUUCAUAUGUUAAAAUUUGAAAUUAUUUAGUCGUAAAUAAAAAAUAAUUGAUAUAAAAAGGCCAAACGUGAAAGAAAAAGGAUUGCAAAGCCCCCCCCACCCACCCACCACCACCAUCUAACUGAGAGUUUGGAGACAAUAGAGGCUGUUGACAGUGGUGCGCAGAUCACCUGGGAUUGACAGCAGCAGGUGAGAGGUAAUCUGCCUGGUGCAAGGGUACAUUAUUAAUGUCAUCUCUAACCCAAUGAAGCUACAGAAAUCCUCUAAAAUGCUAUUCAACAGAUUCAUUAAAGAAAGAAGAUGAAGGUAAAACGUAAUGUUUUAUAUCAGUAGCAAGUACUGUAGAUUUAAUCACACAGUUUCCCUAUAGGUUACAGUAAAUCCCUAGGUUGAAAAAUGUAAUGUAAUGUUAUUCCAGUAUCCUGUUGACAGGAGUACAAUUUAACUACAUAUCACACCUUUUACUCAUUGUCCAUUUAUACAAACUUCCUCGUCAAGUGGCCAUAAGCUAAAUUUACUAUACUGAAAUUUACAUAAAAUUAUGUACAAAAUCUUUUAUCAAUGGAAUAGAGGGCAGUCUUUUAUAAACGUGUAAAUAUUACCAGUUAUAUCAAGACAGAAGACAAAAUAAUUUUUCUAUAGUUUAUUUUCAAUUAAGUCAGAUCAGAGAAUUAUUAAGAUAAUUACAUCACUUGCUUUAUAGUUAAUAUAACAAUAACCAUUUGAGUCAUACAUUUUAUUACUGUUGUCAUUGUUAUUUAUUAUGAUUACCAUUUUGAGAAUAUGAGUGCAUCAAAAUGAAACUAAUGAAGACAGAAAGAGAACUUAAUAAGGACAGGUGACACCCCAUUGACCUCCCAACUCAACCCAUACAUUCCCAUUAUACGCUCAGUCUAUGUGUUCAGUCUAACCAGUCAUGAUAUGCUUCAAAUACUUUUCUCUAGAGGGGAGCUUGGAUGAGUUCAAAGGACAACUCAGCCUGUCCUCCAGAUGUGUACGUGAUUCAAGUGAGGCAAAACUUUCAAAGGUUAAAUGUACUAUCGAUGUGACUAUACUGACACGUUCAGAAAACCGAACCUCUACACACACUGCAAUUCUGCAGCAUUGUUUUCUCUUAAAGUCCAAGUCUCACAACACAGGCUUUGUUUAAAUGACAAAUAUAUUUAAUCAUAAUUUGAUUUGUAAAAAAUAAAAUAAAUAACUACAGCAGGGAUUUUAGUAAAGUCACAGCCAAGAUCAGAAUUUCAAAUUCAAGAAAGACCACAAUGAAAAGGCAGUGAGCCAGGUAUAAUAUUUUUUUUUCAUCUGAGGCAGAUAGUUAAUCCUGGUAACCAUUAAUAGCUUAUAUAUCUAGUGUAUAGCCAUGGGAAAAUACCACUAUUUACUGCCAUGACAACCUAGCAAGAAUGUUUUGUUCACUUAAAUACACCGAUCAGCCACAACAUUAAAACCACCUACCUAAUAUUGUGUAGGUCCCCUUUGUGCCGCCAAAACAGCUCUGACCCGUCGAGGCAUAGACUCAACCCCUAAAGGUGUCCUCUGGUAUAUUUGGAUUUCUGUAUAUAUUUGUAUCUACUGUAUAUUUGUAUCUGAUAUUUUGUAUCUAUUGUAAAUUUGUAUCUGAUUGUGUUACUUUGUUGUCUUUGAUGCUGCAACAGUGCAAAUUCCCCCCGGGGAUCAAUAAAGUACACUACUACUACUACUACUUAUUACAUUAUUGGUUUUUAUUACAUAAAAAAUUUGAAAUACAUUACAUUAUUGGGAGUUAUUACACCAUAGGUAGUUUAUUACAUUAUUAGUUGCUACAGGGCUAUAAAAAGCUACGAUAUUGUUAGAGGGUGAAUUAUUUCCACAUGAUUUUAAAAACUCUCGAAGGGUCAGAGCUGUUUUGGCGGCACAAGGGGGACCUACACAAUAUUAGGCAGGUGGUUUUAAUGUUGCGGCUGAUCGGUGUAUAUUUCAAAUUGCACUUAUUUAAAUAUAAAUUUUUUAAGCUCCCAGCAACACAUGCAUUUACCAGCCUAUUUAAUGCAAUCCCAGACAAUGUGAGCUAGCUAGCAAACCAAUUACCUAGAUUUGUAAAACAAGCCAGAAGACUUUGCCAUAGCCAUAUCCCUUGUAACUUUUGUCAAGGCAUUCUUCUUUCCAUGAGAGAAGGCAGAAAAGAAUUCUGAGUUUGAAUGAAAUGCCAUUUUACAAAUUCAACCUAGCAGACAAGAAUUAGACAGUAUCUAUAAUGAUGGAUAAUAAUCUAAUCAAGGAGAAGUGAGGAGAGCUUUGUAUCUGAAUCAUAUACAUGUAGCAUGUAGUAGAAGUACCAUAUAAUAUGCUAUUGUCUCCUGCUGCUCCACUCUGCAUAUUCCAAGGGGCUGCUUAAGCGAUAUCAAUACAAACUCUGUCAUUAGUUGCCAGCAUUUGGCAAUAAAAUGCUACAUUAAUUUCAACAGCUUCUGAUUGGUACCAAUGACACAAUCUUUAAAAAAAAAAAUCCAACUCAACUGUUGAUGGCAGAACAAAUAAAUUAAACAAUAAGAAUAGGUUUUCAACAAAAUAUUUCAACUUCAAACUUUCCAAGACUUGGAUUUUAAGGGACAUACACAGUAUUGAUUUGCUAGACACAGAAGAGUCUGGACCUGGGUAAAUGCUACUGUGGAGGGGGGGGGGGGUUGUUCAGCUCUGGAGAUACACUCUCUGUGUUCAGUCUGGUUGCUUAUAUCAUAAAGUCCAGCCCAUGGAGAGAAAACCUCAGUACAAAGUAAGGAACAGAAACACAAGUGAACACCUUCAUUUCAAGGACGACAAAAAAGUGCCUAGAAAAAAAAAAAAAUUGUGUUUUAAUGAUUCUCUCUCAUUCCUGAUAUGUGAAACCGUAUCAAAGGAGAUCUUUUGUUUUAGUUCCAUGUGUUUCAGCCGUCUCAUGUUUAGAGUAUAAAUUCUGGCAUAAAGAACCUCAGCGAAUCAGAAUAGGCCGUAUGCAGCCCAGUGGCCUCAGUGUCUCAGUGUGCUGCCUAUCGCCUAAGCAUUGUACACUGUACCUGCAGCAAAACGUAUUGUUAGUGCCUUUGUCUCAAUCGCCUUCAGUAUCAGAAGGGGAACUGUGUGAGUUACCGCUCAUGAACUGGGGGCUAUGUCUACCAUAUUUACACAAUGGGCUCUGUGCACUUCCUGUCAUUGCCUCGAGUGUGUUUCCUGCAAUGGGAAACCCGAGAGGCCCCCACCUUCACGCUCUCUAUAUAACAUGUCUCUGAUGCUUUUAAUGAUAUGUAUAUCAAUGAGGCUCCACAAGGGGGCACUGUUGUACUCGAGUAAAAAGCAGCAGUGUUAUCCUCGGAGGCAUGGCUCGUACAGACAGGAUGCAGCCUGUCAGUACGGAGGGAGGGUCAGCAGCGUGCGGUGUAAGAUGUGUUGCUGUGAGCUCUCUCUAUGAGCUACUGCUGAGGCCGAGUACCCUAGCGCUGUGUCGCGCAAGUGGCGCGCCAUGAAAGAUGCACGACCCCAUCAAUGUUAUUAAAAGACUAGAAUGUGAUAUGUUACCAGAAGUAUCAGAAGUAGACUGUGCAACUCCACACCAGCCCGCCCCCCCCCCCCACCCCCGCCGCCAGCCCCACCCUUCUCUUCGCCUGCGUGGCCAGCAUCGCCUGGCAGCAGAGUUUCCCGCUCUCUGCGCUGCGCGGGCGUCUGUGAUGCUCUGGCGGGCGGCUGUGGCAGAGGAGCGCGGCCAGGCGCUAGGUCUCCGGGUUGGGCGUGGCCAGGAGGGGCACGUUGUCCCUCCUCCUCCGGCCCAGCGGGGGGCGCCGGUACUGCUCCCCGUCGGCCAGCGUCUGGGGCAGGGGCUUCCUCUUGCUCUCGGGCAGCAGCAGGAUGGACAGCACGGCCAGCAGGGCCAGGGAAGAGUACACCACGUGGUGGAGGAAGUAGCCGUAGUGAUUCCACAGGUCCAUGAGCGGAGAGCUGAGGCGGCCCACGCAGCCCAGACCCAUGACCAGGCCAACUCCGCUGCCUCUGCAGAGAACAGGUUUACACACACACACACACACACACACAGUGAACCCACGACCACGCCAACUCCGCUGCCUCUGCAGAGAACAGGUUUACACACACACAGUUCAUAUACGCACAGUGAGGGUUCUAUUAAACACAGAGAGUUAGCCAUCAUGCAUGCUAAGAGUGGGCUAGCAUGACAAUUGGAAGGCAUACACACUGAGAGCAGGCUAGUAUACACAAUAAAAAGAAGCUACAAUAUUUCACAGACAGAGAGAGAGGAGAUAUAAACUAACCCAACACUGACUCUGAACUUCCGUUACAACACAUAUAUACAAAAUAUAACCUGAGAGAAAACUGACAAGAAUUUAGAUAAUAUACACCAACUGACAUGAUGAAGAAGGAGAGGGAGAUGCAAGAGAAAGAAGAUAGGAAAAAUAUAGUAACACAUAAUUAGAAGACAAGAGGGGAGCAGUUACCGGAUGACCGUUGGGAUGACCUCAGCUGUGAAGAGGAUGCAGAGGGAGGCUGCGGCCUGGGAGGAGAAGAGGCCGAGCACUGAGAAAACCGUAAUGGCCGACCCACUGAGAUCUGAAAGAGACACGCACACAUGCAGGGAGCCUUUACUCACACAGACUGACUACACAAGCACAGCACCAGGAAUGGGAACAGCAACAACCUGUGAGAAGGUCAGUGCCGCACAACUGCAGGUCCUGCGGGUCAUAGUGUAUGCUGGUAUUUGCUCCAAUUUCACCGAUUACUUUACUUCUUCUUGGUUCAGGAAGUAAGCUCAUUAGUGAAAUCAGGUGGUGCAGUGCAUGGGUGGAGCAAAUACCUGCAGACACUGUGGCCAGCAGGCCCAGGAGUUGAGUAGGCCUGGAGUACAUGGACUCCGCAAUUGUAAUACACUAAUUUGGCCACAUGAUGGUGACAGUUACUUUGACAGAUAAGUGACCCUUCAACCUUGUACAGUACACAAGUCAAAUUUGAUUUUUAAAAGUAAACAACAAUUACAUAAUUUUAUAAACGAAACAACUUCAAAAAAUAUUAUUUAAAAUAGUAAAUAUUAUUAAAAAACGAUCCCUGAAGCCGGCUUUGCAUAUUUAAUCAAGCUUAACCGUGACCACUUACACUCAGUGAGCCCCAGCAGAAUCAGAGAGGCCAGACCUGUCAUCGUCAUUGCCAGAAGCAGGAUGCCACGGCGACCACACCUGUCCACAGUGGCCCACAGCAACAGCCAGGCAGCACCGCCCGCACACACAGAAAGCAGGAGUGCAGGUCUGAGGAUCGCUCUGUGAGAAGGAGCCAGCGUGGAGACUCGGGAAACACACCUGGUGCACUGAGGAGGAGGGACAGUCAGCAACGGACACACUUUCUCAUUUCCUUCCCUUAAGGACACUUUGGGACACUUACUGAUCUCAGGAAGAGAGAGAGAGGUGCAGUCCCUGCUCCAAGCAGUCCCCUCCAGGACUGGCAUCCCAGAGCUACGCCAAGCAACAGCAACUCCCCAGCAACUGUUGCCUUGCUCUCUCACUCACGUGUGAUGUAGAGUGUGAGGUAGACUCCGGCAGUUGCCGCUGCAAGGCAGAACCGUGUGAUGAUGAAGACGGAAGGCGAGGGAGAGACACACACCAGCACUCCAAAAAUAACUGACAGG
This is a long non-coding RNA of Anguilla rostrata (American eel), 8235 nucleotides long. RefSeq lists it as uncharacterized. The record is from RefSeq and is a predicted model, not a curated record. NCBI's taxonomy places the organism in Eukaryota, Metazoa, Chordata, Actinopteri, Anguilliformes, Anguillidae. The transcript has 6 exons.